RNAcentral lists this ribosomal RNA (463 nucleotides) under uncultured bacterium. Its description in RNAcentral is "partial 16S ribosomal RNA". It matches the Rfam family "Bacterial small subunit ribosomal RNA", at positions 339 to 795 of the family's 1533-position model. The record is from RNAcentral.
CUACGGGUCGCACCAGUGGGGAAUAUUGCACAAUGGGCGCAAGCCUGAUGCAGCCAUGCCGCGUGUAUGAAGAAGGCCUUCGGGUUGUAAAGUACUUUCAGCGGGGAGGAAGGGAGUAAAGUUAAUACCUUUGCUCAUUGACGUUACCCGCAGAAGAAGCACCGGCUAACUCCGUGCCAGCAGCCGCGGUAAUACGGAGGGUGCAAGCGUUAAUCGGAAUUACUGGGCGUAAAGCGCACGCAGGCGGUUUGUUAAGUCAGAUGUGAAAUCCCCGGGCUCAACCUGGGAACUGCAUCUGAACUGGCAAGCUUGAGUCUCGUAGAGGGGGGUAGAAUUCCAGGUGUAGCGGUGAAAUGCGUAGAGAUCUGGAGGAAUACCGGUGGCGAAGGCGGCCCCCUGGACGAAGACUGACGCUCAGGUGCGAAAGCGUGGGGAGCAAACAGGAUUAGAUACCCCUGUAGUC